This 482-nucleotide ribosomal RNA is filed under the name uncultured bacterium. RNAcentral describes it as "partial 16S ribosomal RNA". It matches the Rfam family "Bacterial small subunit ribosomal RNA", at positions 30 to 507 of the family's 1533-position model. The record is from RNAcentral.
AUUGAACGCUGGCGGCAUGCUUUACACAUGCAAGUCGAACGGUAACAGGCCGCAAUGUGCUGACGAGUGGCGGACGGGGGAGUAAUGCAUCGGAACGUGCCCCGUCGUUGGGGAUAACUACUCGCAAGAGUAGCUAAUACCGCAUACGAUCUAUGGAUGAAAGCGGGGGACUGUAAUGCCUCGCGCGAUUGGAGCGGCCGCUGUCGGAUUAGGUAGUUGGUGGGGUAAAGGCUCACCAAGCCAACGAUUUGUAGCUGGUCUGAGAGGACGACCAGCCACACUGGAACUGAGACACGGCCCAGACUCCUACGGGAGGCAGCAGUGGGGAAUUUUGGACAAUGGGCGCAAGCCUGACCCAGCAAUGCCGCGUGCAGGAAGAAGGCCUUCGGGUUGUAAACUGCUUUUGUACGGGACGAAACGGCUCUGGUUAAUACCCGGGGCUAAUGACGGUACCGUAAGAAAAAGCACCGGCUAACUACGUG